Molecule: long non-coding RNA, 838 nt
Organism: Gopherus evgoodei (Goodes thornscrub tortoise)
Lineage: Eukaryota; Metazoa; Chordata; Testudines; Testudinidae
Exons: 2
Source: RefSeq, a predicted model, not a curated record
UGCCCCUCGCCUGGCAUCCAAACUACAUACAGAGAUUGAGAUGAACCUGCUAAAGCCUGGGUGAAUUUUCUGCACAAUGUUUUAUUAGGGUCCUGACGAUGCCGCAGUAAGCCCUUUUCAGGAACUGAUUUAACGACUACCCAACAGAAUUUCAGUAAAAUUGGACGUUCAUGUAAUUUCUAGCAGUUUUUAUUUGGAAGAAGAUCAAGCCAACAGACAUCAGCAAUAUCUGCUUAAAUAAAGGUAUAAAUAUUUUCACAUUAUAUUCUUUGCCUUGAAUUGAAAAAUAAAAAAAUAAAAAAAGGACCUUUGCUCUCUUCUUCCCCUUGUCUGGUAUUGGAUGCACUUACCUGAAAUAAAAUCUUGGUUUUAAAAUCCUAAAGCCUGGUUCUGCCCAUGGAGAAUUGUGGCCUAAAAUGCCACAUCAAUUUAUUUUGAAAAACAGAAUGCAAGUCACCUGAAUCACUCACUAAAAGAGGUUUUUUCCUUUAGUAAGAAAUGAUCUAAAUAAAGUCUUAAGGUAUUUCUAUAACAGUUCACUUAGAAUUGAGGAAUGCUCAUUUCCUUUCCUUGGCAUAGGUGCCACGGCAAAACCAGAAUAUUCAUUCCCAAAUCUGAGAGACUUUGAACAGAAUUUGUUUAUUCUAAUGGAACAGACAGCUCAAAUUUCUCACAUUCACUAUCUGAACAUUUAUCAACAUUAAUCACUUAAAGGUGUCCAUUUUUUCUUUCCUUUUUUGGUUAUGUGCUUUUUGCUUCAUUAUGUUGCAGAGAGACCUACAGGCUUUUUUUUUUUUUCCAGCUUGCCUUUUAUGUUACUAAUUUAAUUUGUCUUGCA